This 606-nucleotide ribosomal RNA is filed under the name Russula sp. RNAcentral describes it as "partial small subunit ribosomal RNA". It matches the Rfam family "Bacterial small subunit ribosomal RNA", at positions 343 to 966 of the family's 1533-position model. Lineage: Eukaryota; Fungi; Basidiomycota; Agaricomycetes; Russulales; Russulaceae. The record is from RNAcentral.
UUCCUCCAGCAGUCCAAAAUAUUAGUCAAUGCUCGAAAGAGUGAACUAGCUAACUGAAAUCAAUUAUAAAAAUUGAUAACAUAAGAGAAAAUAAUGAUAUUACCUUAUUAUUAGUGUCGUCCAAAACUGGUGCCAGAAGACUCGGUAAGGCCAGAGACACAAACGUUAAUCGUCUUAAUCAGGCGUAAAGGGUUUGUAGGCGGCUUUUAAUUAAUUUAAAAAAAUAUUAAAAGUUAAGAAAUUAAUUUAUAAAAUAUUAAAAAGUUAAGAAUAAAAGCUAGAAUCAAAUAGAGGAUAUAUCAAAAAAUGCUUAGUGUAGGUCUGAUAUCCUUAAAUACUAAGUAGAAUAUUAAAGGCGAAAGCUUUUUUCCAUUAAUGAUUGACGCUCAGAAACGAAGGUGAGGAUAGGAAAUAGGAUUAGAUACCCAAAAUACCCCUCUCUGUCAACGAUGAAUGGUAAUUAUUAAUAAUAAAUUUAUUAAUGAUAAUGUUAACACGAUAACCAUUCCGCCUUGUGAGUACAACUGCAAAGUUGAAAACAAAAAAAUUAGUCGGUUUCGGAGCAAACGAAGUGAAGCAUGUUAUUUAAUUCAAUAAUCCGCAAAA